Molecule: non-coding RNA, 21 nt
Filed under: Caenorhabditis elegans
Lineage: Eukaryota; Metazoa; Nematoda; Chromadorea; Rhabditida; Rhabditidae
Source: RNAcentral
UAAUUCCGUAACUGUAUGAUG